GUUAGGAAUAUUGGACAAUGGGCGAAAGCCUGAUCCAGCCAUGCCGCGUGAACGAUGAAGGCCUUCGGGUUGUAAAGUUCUUUAGCCGAUGAUUAUAAUGACUGUAGUCGGAAAAUAAGCCCCGGCUAACUUCGUGCCAGCAGCCGCGGUAAUACGAAGGGGGCGAGCGUUAUUCUGAAUCACUGGGCGUAAAGCGUGCGUAGGCGGUUUUGUAAGUUAGGAGUGAAAGCCCAGGGCUCAACCUUGGAAUUGCUCUUAAAACUGCAAGGCUCGAAUCUCGGAGAGGAUAGCGGAAUUUCCAGUGUAGCAGUGAAAUGCGUAGAUAUUGGAAGGAACACCAGUGGCGUAAGCGGCUAUCUGGACGAGUAUUGACGCUGAGGCACGAAAGCGUGGGGAUCAAACAGGAUUAGAAACCCGAGUAGUCC
This 425-nucleotide ribosomal RNA is filed under the name uncultured bacterium. RNAcentral's name for it is "partial 16S ribosomal RNA". It matches the Rfam family "Bacterial small subunit ribosomal RNA", at positions 354 to 796 of the family's 1533-position model. The record is from RNAcentral.